GUGCUCGUGUCGGCAGCACACGCUAAAAUUGGAACGACAGAGAAGACUCCCACGGGCCCCUGCACAAGGAUGACAUGCAAAUUCAUGAAGUGUUCCGUAUUUUC
RNAcentral lists this small nuclear RNA (104 nucleotides) under Pteropus vampyrus (large flying fox). The record is from RNAcentral. Lineage: Eukaryota; Metazoa; Chordata; Mammalia; Chiroptera; Pteropodidae.